Molecule: RNA transcript, 9896 nt
Organism: Anarrhichthys ocellatus (wolf-eel)
Lineage: Eukaryota; Metazoa; Chordata; Actinopteri; Perciformes; Anarhichadidae
Gene: kcna4
Gene name: potassium voltage-gated channel, shaker-related subfamily, member 4
Exons: 3
Source: RefSeq, a predicted model, not a curated record
CGUGCGCUGCGGUACACGAACGACUUUCUCACCGAUGCUCUCCAUCAUCAUCACCACCAUCACACACACGCGCACACACACACACACACAAUAGGGAGGGAUACCGGAGUAUAGGUAGGGCUACAGCGGCAGACAGACAGAUGUGCGAUGCUCAGACUCAGCCGCGGGGCCGUUGUCCCUCGCCCGCGCGAGGCUAAACUUUUACCGCCGUCGCGUCUCUUCGCCGUGACCGCGCAUGAGCUGUCAUUGAUGCCCUAACGCCGCCGCUCGCACACCUGCUUCUGUUUCCCUCCUUUUCUUUUUUUGGGGUCUGUCUUCUUCAAUGAUAAUUGCUGCCAGCGGACCAGGAGCGCUGCAGCAGAAACGGGGGCUGAAGUGGCGAUAGAUCCUGUUGAAUUGAGGCAAGACGUCGAGACCGCAGCCCCCCAAAAAAGACAAAAAAAAGAAAAGUGUCCUCCACGGGAGUGCGUCAGAGCACGGAUGGAUAUAGUGGAUGAUGUGGCCGCUGGUUGGAUACGACGAGGGAUUUGUGAUAUUACCCCCCCAAAUCAAGACGGGAAUUUGGGCAGGAGCGAAGAACUGCAUCCUCACCUAGCCUAGCUCCCCUCCUCCUCCUCCUGGAGCAGAUUUGUUUGUAGGGGGGCUGAGGCGAUGUCGUUUGGCUCCUUUUCACAUAGAGCGUCAGCGGAAUAAAAGUCUUUCACAUUCACCGGAGCUCCACAAUAUAACAGCAAGGAUCCAGUUGUUGUUAUUUUUAUUUUUUUUUUCAUUUUCUUGAAUCUCAUCACAUAAAAUGGCAACCAGGAGUGACCACGGGAGGAUCAAAAGACGCAUUCGGGCGCCAGCCGCGGCCGUGGAGAAAUUAACCACCUGAUGGGCACCGGAGGACGCGAGCACAGACUGUUUCGGUUGUAGCUUGUUGACUCGGUGAUUUAUAAUGCUCAACAAAUAGAAGGGGCGCUGCGAGUUUGACACAGAGCGCCUGCGUAACAGGCUACAUGCCACCGGCCCUCACGUUUUUUUGUGUUUUGUUUAUGGUAAUGAUGUCAUGAAAUAUCAGGGGCCUGUGUGCCGACACGGGAAGACAGGCUGAUCGAUGUCUCCUGUCACGUAUGAGUCGCCUCGUGGACUGCUCUCAGCAUGGACCUAAUUGAGGUGUGUUUGUUGUUCUGACGUUCUCAUAUUCACAACUGAUUGGUCGAACCGGUUCAUGCCUCAUUUUCUCUCUCUGCGCGCGCCGAGCUGCAACUUUUAUCGGCUGGCCUGCAUCCACGUCGCCCCGAGGCGGUUCCUGUAGCGCUCGCGGACCGAACCCGCUCAUUGACUGUGUAAAAAAAGAAAAAUGGAGUUUGCCAUGGUAGGUGCGGACAACGGGUGCAAUAGUCAACUGCCUUACGGAUAUGCCCACGCUCGCGCACGGGAGCGCCAGGCUGCCCAGUCGCGAGCGGCGGCGGCGGCGGCGGCUGCAGCGGCUGCAGCGGCCGCUGCCGAAGGUGGGUCCGGUGCGGAAGAAGGCGGCGGCUGCGCGGGUUCCACCUCCACCUCCUCCUCGAGCGCUCAUCUCCUCAACAACCGCCAGCAUCAGUCUCGCGCCGCCUCCUCCUCCGCGAACGCCAACAUCAGCAGCAGCGGUACCGCCUCGCGCCCCUCCUCCUCCACCUCCUCCUCCUCCUCCUCCUCCUCGCAGCACCAGCAGGAGCCCGAGCAGCAGCACAGAGUUCUCAGAGAGCGGAAAAAGCAGCGCGGCGUCGGACGCUGGAGACGCAGCCGGACGACUCUCGGCGGGGACCUGCGCCACUCGGAGCUGGCACUGCUCGGAUCCGAGGAGGACAUGAUGAUAGAGGAGGAGGCCGAGGGAGCCGAGGAAGAGGAGGAGGCAGAGGAGGAGGCGGAGGAGGAGGGGGAGGAGGAGGAGUACCGGGGAAGCAAGAGGUCGAGUUUUCUGUGUAACAUGGAUGAUGAGGAGGAGACCGCCUCGCUCACCGACCGGCGCCCGCAUUCCGGAUACGAGAACGUUUACAGCGAGUGCGGCUGCUGCGAGAGAGUCGUCAUCAACGUGUCGGGUCUGAAGUUUGAAACUCAGUUCAAGACUCUCGCGCAGUUCCCGGACACUCUCCUGGGGGACCCCGACAAGCGAAUCAGGUACUUCGACCCGCUGAGGAACGAGUACUUCUUCGACCGGAACCGGCCGAGUUUCGACGCCAUUCUCUACUAUUACCAGUCGGGCGGGCGGUUGAAAAGACCCGCGAACGUGCCGUUCGACAUCUUCUCCGAAGAGGUGAAGUUUUACGAACUCGGGGACGAGGCGAUCCUGAAGUUUCGGGAGGACGAGGGCUUCGUGAAAGAGGAGGAGAAGCCUCUGCCGGAGGACGAGUUCAAGCGCCAGAUCUGGCUGCUCUUCGAGUACCCGGAGAGCUCGACCCCCGCCAGGGGGAUAGCGGUGGUGUCCGUGCUGGUCAUAGUGAUUUCUAUUGUCAUCUUCUGCAUGGAGACGCUGCCGGAGUUCAGGGACGAGAAGGAGUACCUACAGACACGAGUCAACUCCACGCAGCCGGACCACGGGUUCACUCCUUUCAACGACCCGUUUUUCCUCGUGGAGACGGUCUGCAUCAUCUGGUUCUCCUUUGAGUUUGUAGUCCGCUUCUUCGCGUGUCCCAGCAAGACGGCUUUCUUUAAAAACAUUAUGAACUCAAUAGACGUUGUAUCCAUUUUGCCUUAUUUCAUAACUCUCGGCACGGACCUGGCGCAGCACCAAGACAACGGGCAGCAGGCGAUGAGCUUCGCCAUCCUGAGAAUAAUCCGCCUCGUGCGGGUGUUCCGCAUCUUCAAGCUGUCCCGGCACUCCAAGGGGCUGCAGAUCCUGGGUCACACCCUGCGCGCCAGCAUGCGGGAGCUGGCCCUCCUCAUCUUCUUCCUCGUCAUCGGCGUCAUCCUGUUCUCCAGCGCGGUGUACUUCGCCGAGGCGGACGAGCCCACCUCGCAGUUCACGAGCAUCCCCGACGCCUUCUGGUGGGCCGUGGUGACCAUGACCACGGUGGGCUACGGCGACAUGAAGCCCAUCACCGUCGGCGGGAAGAUCGUGGGCUCGCUCUGCGCGAUCGCGGGCGUGCUGACCAUCGCGCUCCCGGUGCCGGUCAUCGUGUCCAACUUCAACUACUUUUACCACAGGGAGACCGACAACGACGACCAGGCGCCGGCGGUGGUGGAGAGCUUGCCGCCGGGCUGCCCGUAUUUCCCGGACUUUUUACGGAAGUUUAAAGGCUCGCCUACGGGCUCCUCGCUGGGCGAUAAGGCGGAGUACAUGGAGAUGGAGGAGGGGGUGACGGAGUCGCUUUGCGGGCUGGACAAGAGCCCCAGUAAAGGAAACGGCACAGACAUAGGCAGGAGAAACAGUACGAACUCAAAGUCCAUUCAGACUGACGUGUGAUUACAAGUAGAGUCUUUACCCCCCCCCCCCCCCCCUCUUUUUUUCCUUAAAAAAAGAAAACGCCCUAUAAAGAUACCGUAUGCCCAACAGCAGGUGGUCCAAACACAAGUUUUACGCACGCGCCUGAGACCCACACACACACGCACAAACGCACACACACACAGGUCACCAAUUGGCAGGUUUCAUUCUCUCCAUCUCAGACUAGUUUCUCCCCAAAAAAGCUCUGCACAAGCUUUAGGAACAAUUAUGAUCAAUAUUUGAUGAUUCGUUAGUCGGCUAAACCUUCCGAAUCUGACACAAAAACUCAAAGUCCAGACAAGACAGGCUAUGCAUUCGCACUUUAUGAGUUCCAUCUGUCAAUAACAGGAAGGGUAGGGAUGAUCGUGUUUUUUUUGUUUUUUUUUGCUGUUAUGCAAUACAUUUAAAAUAAAAUAAAUAAAUGUUUGCACUAAUGUAGAAUUUUGCGCUGGUUUUUAUUUCAGAGACAGAAACUGUAGGUCAUGCAAAUGGCAAUACAUUAGUCCUCCUCUGACCACUUAGCUGAAGAAUGCUGGAGUAACUUCCUCGAAGAGAGAGCAAACUAAGGAUAUUAAUAACCUCUCUUAUGCGCUGCCAAUAAAAAUUGGACUCCAAUAAAGGAAAAAAGCCCGAGACAGAUAACAAACUUUUGCGAGUGAUCCAACACUUAAAAAGCUCAUUGACAAAGACAUAGCAGUCAUCAAAUAAACCAGCGCUACAGUUAUUUCUAUGACAUCUACACAAAUAUGUUUCUUUUUUUCCCCAAACACAAAGAAAAAGCCUUGUGUCGUUGACCCACUAUGAGAGCUAAGCACAGGAAACAGAGUUAAAAACAUAUAAAUAAAUGGCUGGAUAAAUGACUUUUCCCCGCCAGGUUUUUCUACGGACAGGCUUGGAGCCUUGAGUUCCCCCCCAGCUUCAUUUAAACCACCUCAAAAAUGACAAUAUCCCUUUACACGGACGCAGAUGGAAAGCUAUAGCAAAAAAACGACUCUGUUGCGGAAACUCAUCGGAUGAGGUUGGGUGGGGGGGGUUUGCGAGCAACUUCCUCUCCUGUCCGCUUGGAGCACAAAGUAUUCUUUUUUUUCCACUCAAGAGGACUACGUGAUCAUCUCCGAGCUCAGAGGACCUCCGGGAUGUGGACGUCUUCCAAAGCGCUGCCGGUUACAGGGAGGAGGAUCACCCUCCCCACCUCCCCCACCUCAUCUCUGGAAAUCGCAGCGAGCAAGCAAAACAUUGUGACUGGUUCACCUCGAGCACGAGCGGAGACUGGAAUAAAAAUGAAAAAAGCAACAACGACCCGGACGGGACCUCGGCACUUGGAACAAGUGGGAGCUGCUGUGACAUCGGUAAAGAAACCCCGGAGGGUUGAGACUGGAGUUGGUGAAUGAGUAAGUCGUGGCCCAAAAUGAUUGCCUUAAUUACUACGCAUAUACAGAUGUACGAAGUGAUGAAACACAAGAGACUUAUAGUUCAGAGUUCAAAAGUUGUUUUUCUUUACAUGUGGGAAAAAAAAAGUGUCUUGUAAGGAACAGAUGUGAAUAUUUUAAUAUGAUAGAGAUAACGUUUGGUUGUAACGUCGACAUAAUGUUUUAGUUGGGUCGGCUUCGUUAGGUGUCAUCGGUUACUAAAGUGGUGAGUUUGCUCUCUGCUCAUGCGCAGUCAGCAGUGCGACUUAAUCUAUUUUUUAUCUCGUUUCAUAUUGUCAACCAAACAAGGCUGGCCUGAGUCGCUCACUCAAACGCUGGCGACAAAACUCUUAAUUCACAUGGUGUCAUAACACAUGGAAAUCCUCAUUCAGACGGUGUAUAGAGGGCUGGGAGGGAAAUACGAGACAUAUAUACAUAUAUAUAUAUAUAUACAUAUAUAUAUAUGUAUAUAUAUAUUGACUGGCUCAAUGCGACCCACUGAAAUAUAUCAGAAGAAUAUCCUCUUACAUUAAGAUCCACUUACACUAAAGCAAAGAUGUCAGGCACAUAAACACCAUCAUAAAUAUCUGCCACACUCACUUUCUAUCAGAGGGGCAGCGGGUGAACCUCGCCGGGCUUUCACCGUCAAGACGAAAUACCUUUAGGUUGUUUUCCUCAGAUGCAAAUUUAGAGCUGACCAGCUGCUUUGUUGAUAUGUUUUCACUUUAACUGUAUGCAAAAGUAACAUGGACGUGUGUUAUAUAUUUUUUUAAACCUAGCCUUGAUAAUUACAUAACCAAAGGUGAAACCCUGAAUUUAUUGUAUGUUGUGGACUUCUGGAAAAUGUUGUGAUAGAUUGCACACUGAAUAGGGAAAAAAAAAAUGUAAAUACCCGACAUUUAUACUUGUGUGUCCUACGAUGUGUUGCAGAUAAGAGUAAUUUGAGACUUUAUACUUUCUUUGACUGUUAUGAGCAUCAACCAUAAUCACCCGUGUUCGGUUCGUCCUCGCUGAUACAAUCACGUUGUUGUGAAUGCUGCUCCAACAUCCUUCAUCCAUCUUGUUAGUUGUUUUUAUUCUUCUUUCUUUUAUUUAUAUAUAUUUUUUUUACAUACUGCACAUUAAAAAUCAACCUAUUCAUUCAUUUGACGUACUCAAACAUGAGGUUUGUGCAGUUUUGUCAGAGAAGCAGUGGAUUUUGUUACGUCUCUUAGACCUGCCAUGUUGCCCCGUGAAUGAAAUGAUUAGAAGUUGCCAGUAUUUUAGCCUUUGGAAGUAGUAUAAAUAUAUAUAUCACAUAUUUUAAUGAAGACUAUGCUUUAUUUUCCUACAUUUCCCUUAAAUACUGUGUUAGCUAUAAUUGCAUUAGAGCUCUGGAUCUACGUGUCUUUUCCCUCUACUCCUAAAGAAAAUCCAAAGUUCACAGUUUUGCUUCUUUUUUGUCCUGAAAGUUUGUAUCUGUAAUUACCUCAAUAAUAUAUCCCUCAGAAAAGCUGUUUACUGAAUGUUCCAGAUGUUUCCUUAGUAUCAGAAAAAAAGACUUGCAAAAUAACCACAAUAGUUUUGAAAUAGACGUCAAUAGUUUACUUGGGAAAUCCUUAUGGGAGGAUGUUUUUAUUGGGAAGUUUUUCAUUUCCGCGUACCAAAAGUUUAAACAGGAACACCAGAAUAAUCUGCACAUUGUUCUUUAAAGAGUUACAUGACGAUAAGAGUAAGACAUGAUGAAUCUAAAUUGAAUGACAGUGGAUUAUAAUAUCAGGUUGGACUGUAGUUUUCACUUACAUGUCACUUACAUUGUCUUACCUUUAACCCCUCCACUUCCAGUCUUUAUGCUAAGCUAAGCUAAUAGGCUGCUGGCUGUAGAGACAUAUUUACUGUACGGACAUGAGAGUGGUGUGGUUUCUGUUGGCCAACUGGCCAUAAGACUGAGAACCAGCGUGUUUACCCAGACGUUUAAAAGGUCCAGUCUGUGGGAUUGAGCUUAGAUUUCUGUUUGAUAACCAGUUGGUUUACAUCAAAUUUAUUGAUAUUCAUUACAUUUUCUCAUUCAUUGUUGAUAUUUUUUUCCUCCACCGUAUGAUUAGACACUUUUUCUGAUGACAAACUGUGGCUAAUUCAGAAAAACAGAGUUCAGAAAAUCCCCUAAAUCCUGCCCACUGGACCUUUGAGAGAUACUUUAAAUGACAAUAUAACCAGUAUAACUGUCUGUAGAUAUAUAUUUUCAGAAGUGAUUUUUAUUACACUAAUCUUGUCAGAUCACGAGCCCCAAGCACAAGCUGUUCCAGGACCUGAGGGGCUCGGGCCGGCAGAGAUCUCAGCUCUGACCUGGAGUUCUGAUUUGGGAACAGUCGGUCAGGGGUGGGGGGGGCGGCCUGAAUGUUGGCUCCCAUAAAGAUCUGAGAUGUAGCAAGCCCAGAUGCACAACUAUCAUAUACCAACAGCCAACAGUAGCCAGAAGCUGCGCUGCUGUAACAGACACAGAUGAAUUUGUGGGAGACGAAUUUAAUCUAUCUAGCGACACGUUCAGCUAAAGUUGGGUAUUAUCACGAAGCAGCACAAAAGACGCUAAGCCAAAGAGUAGUAUUUGCCCACAGGUUAUCGGAGAGAACGAGAACAGGAUCAGGCUGAUUGAUCCUCCAGGCAACACAUCCAAUCACGCAGAACAAACAAGCACCAAAGGAGACUGAAGGGAAAUCUGUUUAACUGGACAGCCUCUAACCCAUUUCCUCAUUCUAUGAAUUAAAAAUCAUUUAUGUGGUUCGAGGCUGCAAUUAUGUCAAGUUCACUUGAAGCUGCUUUUAUCAGGAGAUCAGCAGCAACCCGGAGAAGGGCAGUGUGCUGUAAUGUAGGAAGCAGGGAAGAUAAUAAAGGUCGAUUUUUAAGCAGAUUGAAAUAGUACAGGAAGAAAAGUAAUUUACCCUCGUGUGUGAGCUGAAUGAGAAUAAGAAAAGGUCGUAAUCCACAUUUAUCCACACGGAUAUUUCUCACGAGGUCAUCCGGUUGGAAUGAGUGGGAAAAGAUUAGUCGGAAAUAUCUAACACAAGAAGACUAAACAACAAAUCACAGUUUUCUCUGCUGCUGAAUAGUAAUAACGUCUGUGAUGCUGUCGUGAUUCAGCCAAUGACCUGCCGGGAGGUCAACAUUAGAUAAUACACGAAACAAGGUGAGAGAAUGUUUUAAUAUGAUCACCUCCGGGUUGGAAAACUCAGCAGGGACUAUACGUAUAAUAUGUUGAGCUAAAGUCAGUGUCACAGCUACUGACCAGAGGAGAUUCCCCCAACGCAGUUUAACUUAUUUCAAAAGGAAAUUCUUGUUGGCGAUUUCUAUCACGUUAAGGACUAUCUCGGCGUUCACAUCGUGAGAAACAGCUUCUCUGUUGAAGCUCAUGUAUAUUUCUGAGGCCUAAACGACUCUGAGACUCAAAUCCUCUGAGCUCUCCACAGAGCGGCUAUAGGCAAGAUUAACUUUAAGAUGAAUGCCUCCCCAAAUCAAUAGCAAAAGGAUUCCUUCUAAAACAACAACAACAACAACCAAUUGACCACAGAUCUAAAGCCUCGCAGAGCAGCCCAGUGUGAUUUAGUGAUGUACUACAUUUUAUGCUGCUUUCAGUGUUGCCAGAUUUGACACAAAACUGUCCCAUUUCAGUUCCAUGUAUAAAACAGGUGCUAGGAAGCAGCCUCAGGGUUGUAUUUUUACAAUUAGGCAAACCCCAAACCAGCCAAAACAAGGUUUUAAUAAUGAAAAAGGAGCGAUCGAACAUUUAAAUACUAACUUCUAAUAAGAGUUGUAACCUUUUGCAGGUCAUUUAUCACAGAGGUACGACCAGAUAGUAACUUAAAGUUACAAUCUUGAAGAUCUCCACUUUGUCUCUCCGAUGGCGAUAAGCGGUACAUGAAGGUGUGUUUUGGGAUCUCACUUCCCAGAGAUCAAAACCAUGUCGAGAAUUCCUGGGAAUGACGGCCAACAGACACCCAAGUUCGUAAAACUGCAAAUGCUCAACAACCAUUGUGUUACCUCCAUAGAAAUAGAAUAGGAGUAGAACGGACAUUGAACUGUUCUCCGUGGUCAUGUGACUAGUGCAAAAGAAAAUGGCGUUUGUUGUUAGUUGUUAGAUGACAACACACGUCAGUAAAGUAAAGUGUAGUUGCAGCUCGCCGGGAAAGAGCGGACGCAGCUCUGGAGACGGAUAGCCGGCUCCUUUUCCGUAACCAGUGUAGCAUUACAGCAUGGGGGAAUUAGCAACCUGGCUGACUAGCCAGCUAACCGCUAGUUAACUAUUUAGCUUGUUAAUUCCACCAUGCUGUAAUGCUACACUGGUUACAGAAAGUCGGUCGUAAUGGCAACGGUUUGGACCAUCCUGCUACUUUAAUAUGAAUGAGAAUGUCUGUUCUACUACUAUUCUAUUUCUAUUACCUCAUUCAGCGAUGGACAAUGACUUGACAGACAUUUAUCUUAAAGAAAAUUUUAAAUAUUAUUACAUUAACUUGGAAAUAAAAGGUUGUACCUAGUUGUUGUGAGCGGAAAUUACAUUUGUUUUUAUUGAUCAUCUGUUAUCCAUCGCUACUAAAAUAGUCACAGAUGGUACAAAAAUUGUCCCAAAUCAUCCCAAGCCGCCCAAGACAAUUUGUUUUCUGCCCAAUUAAAUAAAAAGUGGCCAAACUGGAUGGAAGACCGCCCAAUCUGGCAACACUGACUGCCUUUGCCCGCAGUGAUCAGGAUGGAUAUGUUGGUACAAAACCAACUGUUAACACAUCGGAGUUUGUGAACUGAAUUUGGUUUAAAAGAAAUCUCACUUUUAAUGUUUCUUGUCUCCAGCAGCUGAGGGGCAUCUUAAACAACAACAACCUGGCUAAGCCCAAUAUCUUCACAUUGCACACAAGCAGCACUGUCGACGUUUCGGUAUGGCUCUGUUUGGCAUCACGUACCACAGAUAUAUACAUAAAAGAAGAGUAUCGCAUUAGUCUGAGGAUGAAGACUUGAGUGUUUACUGUAACAUCCACAGUGUUAAAUAACACCAGGAACCCGUUUUAUGUCUUAAUCUC